Molecule: transfer RNA, 72 nt
Filed under: Trichomalopsis sarcophagae
Lineage: Eukaryota; Metazoa; Arthropoda; Insecta; Hymenoptera; Pteromalidae
Description: tRNA-OTHER
Source: RNAcentral
GUAGAUGUUAGCUCAGUGGAUAGAGCUCUUGCUUGUUAACCUCGGGGCCCGCGGUUCAAGUCCGUGUCUACU